CCUACGGGCGGCAGCAGUGGGGAAUAUUGCACAAUGGGCGCAAGCCUGAUGCAGCAACGCCGCGUGAAGGAAGAAGGGUUUCGGCUCGUAAACUUCUAUCAACAGGGACGAAAGAAAUGACGGUACCUGCAUAAGAAGCCCCGGCUAACUACGUGCCAGCAGCCGCCGUGAUACGUUGGGGGCAACCGUUUUCCGGAAUUACUGGGUGUAAAGGGGGAGAAGGCGGCAUGGUAAGCCAGAUGUGAAAGCCUUGGGCUUAACCCGAGGAUUGCAUUUGUAACUAACAAGCUAGAGUACAGGAGAGGAACGCGGAAUUCCUAGUGUAGCGGUGAAAUGCGUAGAUAUUAGGAAGAACACCAGUGGCGAAGGCGGCUGUCUGGACUGAAACUGACGCUGAGGCACGAAAGCGUGGGGAGCGAACAGGAUUAGAUACCCGAGUAGUC
RNAcentral lists this ribosomal RNA (443 nucleotides) under uncultured bacterium. Its description in RNAcentral is "partial 16S ribosomal RNA". It matches the Rfam family "Bacterial small subunit ribosomal RNA", at positions 338 to 795 of the family's 1533-position model. The record is from RNAcentral.